GACGAACGCUGGCGGCGUGCCUAACACAUGCAAGUCGAACGGAACUGCUUCGAAGGAUUUCUUCGGAAUGACAUUGAUUCAGUUUAGUGGCGGACGGGUGAGUAACGCGUGAGUAACCUGCCUUCAAGAGGGGGAUAACAUUCUGAAAAGAAUGCUAAUACCGCAUGACAUAUGAUUGUCGCAUGGCAGACAUAUCAAAGAUUUAUCGCUUGAAGAUGGACUCGCGUCCGAUUAGUUAGUUGGUGAGGUAACGGCCCACCAAGACCGCGAUCGGUAGCCGGACUGAGAGGUUGAACGGCCACAUUGGGACUGAGACACGGCCCAG
RNAcentral lists this ribosomal RNA (325 nucleotides) under uncultured bacterium. RNAcentral describes it as "bacterial SSU rRNA". It matches the Rfam family "Bacterial small subunit ribosomal RNA", at positions 28 to 334 of the family's 1533-position model. The record is from RNAcentral.